This 324-nucleotide ribosomal RNA is filed under the name uncultured eukaryote. Its description in RNAcentral is "partial 18S ribosomal RNA". It matches the Rfam family "Eukaryotic small subunit ribosomal RNA", at positions 1470 to 1796 of the family's 1831-position model. The record is from RNAcentral.
CCCUUAGAUGCUCUGGGCCGCACGCGCGCUACACUGGUCGAUGCAACGAGUUUCUUUCCUUGGCCGACAGGCCUGGGCAAUCUUUGAACAUCGAUCGUGAUCGGGAUAGAUUCUUGUAAUUUUUGAUCUUAAACGAGGAAUUCCUAGUAAACGCAAGUCAUCAGCUUGCAUUGAUUACGUCCCUGCCCUUUGUACACACCGCCCGUCGCACCUACCGAUUGGAUGGUCCGGUGAAAUCUCCGGACUGGCGUGAGUCGGAGCAAUCUGACAAACACCGGAAAGUUGAUUAAACCUUACCAUUUAGAGGAAGGUGAAGUCGUAACA